RNAcentral lists this ribosomal RNA (253 nucleotides) under uncultured bacterium. RNAcentral describes it as "partial 16S ribosomal RNA". It matches the Rfam family "Bacterial small subunit ribosomal RNA", at positions 524 to 776 of the family's 1533-position model. The record is from RNAcentral.
UACGUAGGGGGCAAGCGUUGUCCGGAAUCAUUGGGCGUAAAGAGCGUGUAGGCGGCCCGGUAAGUCCGCCGUGAAAGUCCAGGGCUCAACCCUGGAAAGCCGGUGGAUACUGUCGGGCUCGAGUCCGGAAGAGGCGAGUGGAAUUCCUGGUGUAGCGGUGAAAUGCGCAGAUAUCAGGAGGAACACCAAUGGCGAAGGCAGCUCGCUGGGACGGCACUGACGCUGAGACGCGAAAGCGUGGGGAGCAAACAGG